Molecule: ribosomal RNA, 497 nt
Filed under: uncultured bacterium
Lineage: Bacteria
Description: partial 16S ribosomal RNA
Rfam family: Bacterial small subunit ribosomal RNA
Source: RNAcentral
GACGAACGCUGGCGGCGUGCCUAAUACAUGCAAGUUGAGCGCUGAAGGUUGGUACUUGUACCAACUGGAUGAGCAGCGAACGGGUGAGUAACGCGUGGGGAAUCUGCCUUUAAGCGGGGGACAACAUUUGGAAACGAAUGCUAAUACCGCAUAAAAACUUUAAACACAAGUUUUAAGUUUGAAAGAUGCAAUUGCAUCACUCAAAGAUGAUCCCGCGUUGUAUUAGCUAGUUGGUGAGGUAAAGGCUCACCAAGGCGAUGAUACAUAGCCGACCUGAGAGGGUGGUCGGCCACAUUGGGACUGAGACACGGCCCAAACUCCUACGGGAGGCAGCAGUAGGGAAUCUUCGGCAAUGGACGAAAGUCUGACCGAGCAACGCCGCGUGAGUGAAGAAGGUUUUCGGAUCGUAAAACUCUGUUGGUAGAGAAGAACGUUGGUGGGAGUGGAAAGCUCAUCAAGUGACGGUAACUACCCAGAAAGGGACGGCUAACUACGUG